GUGACUAUUCCUCCAACUACAAUUACUAUAAGCGUACCCAAUCCGGAAAACCAAUGAUAGGACAAUAGGUAAAGAGCAAAAACAUCAUCUUCGCUGAAAAUAGAAAAUAUAAUUACAAGAAAGCUUGACUUAUAUUUCCUGGACACUGAGCAAGUGGUACCGGAAGCUUCUUAGGUACUAUGACACCGGCACUGAUCGAUAUAUUUGCUCCGAAACAUGCCCAACCAGCUAUUAAAAAUCCCACAACGGCACCUACGAAUGCACCCUAAAAGUAAGAAAAUUAAAAUGUUAUAUUACAUAUAUUUUUUCAAAAUAACAAAUAAUCAUUUUAAUUAAUUUAUUACCUGAGAAUUAGUCCAUGGAAAAAGCAUUCCAAGAGUGAAGACUCCAAAGGAAAUUCCUGCGGCAAUUGCGGCUAAACUGUUUGUAACC
Molecule: long non-coding RNA, 432 nt
Organism: Vespa mandarinia (Asian giant hornet)
Lineage: Eukaryota; Metazoa; Arthropoda; Insecta; Hymenoptera; Vespidae
Source: RefSeq, a predicted model, not a curated record